GACGUAGGGCGCGAGCGUUGUCCGGAUUUAUUGGGCGUAAAGAGCUCGUAGGCGGCUCGUUGCGUCAACCGUGAAAACCCGGGGCUUAACUUCGGGCUUGCGGUUGAUACGGGCGGGCUGGAGUACGGUAGGGGCAGAGGGAAUUUCCGGUGGAGCGGUGAAAUGCGUAGAGAUCGGAAAGAACACCAACGGCGAAAGCACUCUGCUGGGCCGACACUGACACUGAGAGACGAAAGCUAGGGGAGCGAAUGGG
This 253-nucleotide ribosomal RNA is filed under the name uncultured bacterium. RNAcentral describes it as "partial 16S ribosomal RNA". It matches the Rfam family "Bacterial small subunit ribosomal RNA", at positions 524 to 776 of the family's 1533-position model. The record is from RNAcentral.